Molecule: long non-coding RNA, 3234 nt
Organism: Aegilops tauschii subsp. strangulata
Lineage: Eukaryota; Viridiplantae; Streptophyta; Magnoliopsida; Poales; Poaceae
Source: RefSeq, a predicted model, not a curated record
UAUCCACACGCUCCCUCUCCAGCCGCGGCAGCGCAGGACUCACGCCUGGCCCUCGCCGACCCUCCGCCCCGCAGUGGUGCGCCCGAGCUUGGGCGCGCCGCCGCUGUGUCCGCGCUGGUCCUGGAUCCUAGGCGCGGUCCUCCUCGACCUUCGAUCCCCUCGCUUCAACGGCGGCGGCACCCCGUCCUUCCAUUGAUCGCCCGAUUCCGGCCAACUCCGGCGCCUUCCUCGGGCUGCCGCUCACGGUAACGGAUCCCCUCGCCGCCCCCUACCGAUUCGCCCUGCAGCCAGCCUUCCUCGCCGCCCCGGCGAGCCCCUUGGCCACCGAGGAGAUGAGUUGCACCGCCUGUGAGCACCCCUCCCGAUUCAUCUCUUUCCUCGCCAGCAUCGGCCGCGCGAGCAGGAGCUCACCAUCGGCCAUGGAUGCGGCCUAGAACUGCUGCCGCCCCUGCCCUGCCGUGCGCCGACGGCCAUGGACUAGCCGCGCGAGUAGGAGCACGCCACGGCAGGCGCGCAUGGAUGCGGCCGAGAACUGCUGCCGCCCCUGAACUAAAGCCGCAUGAUGCUGCUGCCGCUGGGGCGUGCUGCUGCUCGCCUCUCCAGUCCGCCGGUGCCUCCCGCUCGGGUGGCGUCCCGGGCUGACGGUGAGGCACCGCAUGCGUCCGAGCUGCUGCUUGCGUCGCCUCGCGACCGCUGCUGGACCCGAGGGAGCCGCCAGCUGCGCGCGUCCAGGGGAGCACCUGAGCAGCUCGCGUUCGAGCUGAGGGCUACGUGCGCGCGCGAGGGAGCAGCUACCCAGUGCAGCGGCAUCAGCUAGCAACCUCUGAAUUCAGUGUUGCAGAAUUCUGGAGGCAACUACGUGUAUAUCCUGUUCAUGAAAGCUUUCAUUUGAAAGCUCAUAAGGUCAAUUUUGUUCCUUUUUCAUUUUUGUUCUUUCAUUUGAAAGCUCAUAUGGUCAAUUUUGGAGGCAACUACAUGUAUAUACUGUUGAUGUUACAUGUAAACAAAUUAUGGCAAGCAGCACAAGUUUCUUUGUUUGUAAAUUAAGCAGUCUGGUAGAUUUGGAAAGGAGGAACAGGGUACUGAACUUCUAUAUAUCAGCAUAAGAUGUUUUCCUAUGCCUUGAGGAGUUGCCGAUGGAUGAUAUGCAGAGGCUACCAAGUGGUAGCUCCAAUCUUGCAAUUGAAGGUCAGCAAUGGGUGCUUCUCCUGGGACGGCUCACCUGAGAUACCAACACUGAAGGAUCUGAAUUUUCAAGAUCAGCAAGGCAUGCGUGUUGCAGUCUAUGGGAUGAUCGGCUCUGGAAAAUCAAGUUUGCUCUUUUACAGUCUGUGGGAUGACCGGCUCUCAGUGAGGUGCCAAAGCUAUUAGGAGAUGCCAAGACUUCCGGAACAAUGGCAUAUGCCAGCCAGACAGUAUGGAUGCAGAGCGGCAAAAAUUCAGGACAACAUACUGUUUGACAAGGAGAUGGAGAGUGAGAAGUAUGGCAGGGUCCUUGUGUGGUGUUCGCUGAAGAAAGACUUGGAGAUCAAAGUCAUUUAUGGUUGUGUGUGUUUCUAUUGAUGUGUUUGCCCUGUUUGUUCAUUGCAUAUUCAGUUGUUCGAAAAAGGGGUGUCAUUUGUGCCAGGUUAAUCAACUAGGGAAAGUAACACUUGAUCACAGGGUAAUAAAGUUAGUAGGUGUAUGUAAAGUUAUGUAGCUUCGUCAAACAUAUGUGACGUUUUAGUUGUUGGUCAGUUAUGUAGCUGCUCUCCAAUGACCUUUUGAAUUCAACAUGUCAUCAAUCAAAUAUACAAGGAGGACACGUAACAAAUCAGAAAGAAAGUAGCAAGUUGUUAAAUCUGAUUUGCUGCUUUCAUUUUGUGGAACUCUAUAGCUUGUGAAAUAUUCAUGUGUUAUAUCUUGUACGCCUCUUGUGAUUUUACCAAUGGAGUUGGCUCUAGCUCUUGAAAAGAUGGUGAAUGAGAAGCUUCCCAACCUGCCCACUGUAAGUUUCUUCUUCAUGCCUAUUUACAAGGAAAAUUACUUUAAAAGUAUUUGUGUGUGUGUGUGUGUUUGGCCCACUGAAUUCCUAAUUAUUUAUCCGAACCAGUACAUGCAAACGUCACACCAUAUCUAAAACAUUCAUCCCAAAUUUAACAGGUAGCAACAAGGUGAAAAGAUCCUUAGCUGAGCAUCUUUGUUGAGCAACGGACAUGAGGCGCGUGGGGUAUUAAGAGGAAAUGGACUCUCUGGAGCUUUCUUACAGUGAGGACAGGAUCCCCUCUUGCCCAAGGUUAAAUUCCUCAACUAUCUAGCCCCGUGAUGCCAAUGGUUCUCUUCCUUUCUUCUCUUCAAAAUCUGUCAGCAGCAAGCUCUGUCUAAAUGUAUGGUACUUAUCUAAGGGGAUGUCACAGUAUUUUUAUUUUAAAUACCUGUUAUUAUAGGUCCCUUGAGUGCUUAGCUGAAAUUUGCUGGUUUACUAGCUCUCUGAAAGGGUAUCACUGUAGAGCAACUAUAGCAUGCAACUGCUAUAAUUGUAUAUAUAGUUUGUAUUUAUCACUAAGAUGGGUCAUCAAGAUGUUCUGCAUCAAAGGUGUUGGCAGUGCUACAGUUGAAAAAAUAAGAUGACUUUGUGGUGUUACUACUGCCUGAGAAGUAGCAACCUCCCACAAAAGGUAUAACAAAGUCGUUACUAUGGCAGAAAAAGUAGUACAGUAAAGCAUGUACCAGAUAUACUGGGAGAAAAUGCCACGUGAUAAAAGAACGACUUCAAAUGAAUGCAUAUGUCUUGAAAUGAACUUUUUAUCAUGUUGUGGUUGAUUACUGGAACCAUACUUAAUUUGUUAUCUGUUAGGCAGAAUAUAUGAUAUUGACAGGAUCUUUUUUGAUGUGAUACAGGAAGCAGGUAAAUUUCUUUUGUCAAUUGUCAUACAAUAUUCUAACCUCCCGCCUGGCAGUACCAUCUACAAUGAUGUUUUCACCUAGCUUGAUCUUCUGCAUUGCAUAUACUUCCAGUUUUUAAUAUGUAUCCUGUGUAUACUGAUUGUUUCCCUCUAUUGUGUGUAAGCCGCAUUUUCUAAUCGAUCCUAUUUAGUGUCGCAAUUCGGGGACUUAUUGGAGAUAUCAUCCUAUUGCCUACUAUCAACAUUAGAAGUCAAAAAUGAGUAGAAAUGUGAGGGGUGGUGCAAGGAGUAUCCCUUGCAGGCUGCCCCCACGUCAAGUUCGAUGAGGUUGGAGUUUUAAAGUUUUAAA